Molecule: ribosomal RNA, 494 nt
Filed under: uncultured Flavobacterium sp.
Lineage: Bacteria; Pseudomonadati; Bacteroidota; Flavobacteriia; Flavobacteriales; Flavobacteriaceae
Description: bacterial SSU rRNA
Rfam family: Bacterial small subunit ribosomal RNA
Source: RNAcentral
GAGUUUGAUCAUGGCUCAGGAUGAACGCUAGCGGCAGGCCUAACACAUGCAAGUCGAGGGGUAGAAGGAGCUUGCUCCUUUGAGACCGGCGCACGGGUGCGUAACGCGUAUGCAAUCUGCCUUGUACUGAGGGAUAGCCCAGAGAAAUUUGGAUUAAUACCUCAUAGUAUAUAACCUUCGCAUGUUGGUUAUAUUAAAGUUCCAACGGUACAAGAUGAGCAUGCGUCCCAUUAGUUAGUUGGUAAGGUAACGGCUUACCAAGACGAUGAUGGGUAGGGGUCCUGAGAGGGAGAUCCCCCACACUGGUACUGAGACACGGACCAGACUCCUACGGGAGGCAGCAGUGAGGAAUAUUGCCCAAUGGACGAAAGUCUGAGGCAGCGACGCCGCGUGGGUGAUGAAGGCCUUCGGUCGUAAAGCCCUUUUCUGCGUGACGAGACAAGGACGGUAGCGCAGGAAAAAGUCUCGGCUAACUACGUGCCAGCAGCCGCGGU